This 383-nucleotide ribosomal RNA is filed under the name uncultured eukaryote. RNAcentral describes it as "partial 18S ribosomal RNA". It matches the Rfam family "Eukaryotic small subunit ribosomal RNA", at positions 592 to 976 of the family's 1831-position model. The record is from RNAcentral.
CAAUAGCGUAUAUUAAAGUUGUUGCAGUUAAAAAGCUCGUAGUUGGAUUUCUGGUGGGAGCGAGCGGUCUGGCGCUUAGCGCGAGUACUUGCAUCGUCUCCGGCCAUCCUUGGGGAGAGUCUGUCUGGCAUUAGGUUGUCGGGCAGAGGAUCCUCAUCGUUUACUGUGAAAAAAUUAGAGUGUUCAAAGCAGGCUUAUGCCGUUGAAUAUAUUAGCAUGGAAUAAUAAGAUAGGACUUUGGUACUAUUUUGUUGGUUUGCGCACCAAAGUAAUGAUUAAUAGGGACAGUUGGGGGUAUUCGUAUUCCGUUGUCAGAGGUGAAAUUCUUGGAUUUACGGAAGACGAACUACUGCGAAAGCAUUUACCAAGGAUGUUUUCAUUAA